CGAUUCCGAUUUAUCGGAAUAGUGGCAAACGGGUGAGUAACACGUAAGUAACCUGCCCCUAAGUAAAGGAUAACUCUGAGAAAUUGGAGCUAAUACUGUAUGUGGUGGUGGGGCUAAGGCUCCAUCACUAAAGCCUUCGGGCGCUUGGGGAGGGGCUUGCGUCCGAUUAGCUAGUUGGUAAGGUAAUGGCCUACCAAGGCAACGAUCGGUAGCUGGUUUAAGAGGACGGUCAGCCACAUUGGGACUGAGACACGGCCCAGACUCCUACGGGAGGCAGCAGCAAGGAAUAUUGUGCAAUGGGCGAAAGCCUGACACAGCGACACCGCGUGGGGGAUGAAGGCCUUCGGGUCGUAAACCCCUUUUCCCAGAGAAGAAAAAUGACGGUACCUGGGGAAUAAGUCUUGGCUAACUACGUGCCAGCAGCCGCGGUAAGACGUAGAAGGCAAGCGUUAUCCGGAUUUAUUGGGCGUAAAGAGGGUGUAGGCGGUUCUUCAAGUCGGAUGUAAAAUCUCCCGGCUCAACUGGGAGGGAUCAUCCGAUACUGUUGGGCUAGAGUGCAGCAGGGGGAGAUGGAAUUCCCGGUGUAGUGGUGAAAUGCGUAGAUAUCGGGAGGAACACCAGUGGCGAAGGCGGUCUCCUGGGCUGUUACUGACGCUGAGACCCGAAGGCGUGGGGAGCGAACAGGAUUAGAUACCCUGGUAGUCCACGCAGUAAACGAUGGACACUAGGUAUGGGGGGUAUCGACCCCCUCCGUGCCGAAGUUAAC
RNAcentral lists this ribosomal RNA (766 nucleotides) under uncultured bacterium. RNAcentral's name for it is "bacterial SSU rRNA". It matches the Rfam family "Bacterial small subunit ribosomal RNA", at positions 67 to 856 of the family's 1533-position model. The record is from RNAcentral.